CCAGUCUGUUCUGGAAAACUUAUCUAUACUCACUUACGAUAGAACUAGAAGGUCAACGGUAUGGGAACAUAACCUCACGACAUAUUUAAAAAGGCGUUUGCUGAUACACGUCAAUGGAAUAAAUAAUUUUUGGUUGUGAGAAAUUUAUGGACGUUACUGUAAUCCCCGGCAUCAUGAGAGAGGAAAAAACAAGAGGAAAAAACCAAUCUAUAGGCCGCACUGUAGAUCAAUCCAUUUUAUGAAUACGAACAGCACGGCCGCAUUCUUAGUCUACACAUCAUUCGCAUCGGGUAUGGCUAUAUUGAUAAAGCCCACCAGUAGCAGUAACCCAUACAUGGCUUCCCUUUAACAGCACUCUCUCACUCACUGGUCGCACGCCCACACACAGAUGGUUCGCACUGUCACACAGGAAGAAGCCUGUCAUUGGAUAGCUGCCUUCCGCGGAAGCCCGCGUUUAAGAUCUCGUUUCGGCAAUCAAUUUUAUUUCGUCCAAAACUGCUUCCACUGCCACUAUUCCACCCGUUAUCUUCUUUUACUAAGCGCACUGUGUUGUUGGUGUUAUUGGUUCGACAAACGGAUAAAAAUAUUCUAAUUCAACGAUUUUGCGAUCAAAGAAUUUUCUAAGAUUUAUACCAAUUAUAAUUAUGAUAUCAAUAAAUUUUUCAAUGCCAAGAACAUUGUAGAUAAGACCUUUUUGUAGAAAAGAUAUUUGAAUCUAGGUUACAGAGUAUCUUCUUUAGAUGACUGCCAUCGUAUAAAGCCGCUCUUCGCGAUAGUUGGUGAGUCAGUUGUAUGUUGCCUUUGUAAGCAGGAUAAAAACUAGUGCAAAAAACUCAACAUGAAAACAUUAAAGUUCUUAAUCAUGAUCGCUUUGAUCGCAUUCUCUAUCACAUUUAUGAUGGUAUUCGCGGAAGAAAGUGACCAUGAAAAAUGCAUGGGAAAAUGCAAUGCUUGGCAGAAACAGCAGGCAUCAAAGAAACUCUUGACGGGAAUCAACUGUCAUCAUGCUUGUACCAUGAAGACUAUGGGA
Long non-coding RNA from Phymastichus coffea, 1030 nucleotides. RefSeq lists it as uncharacterized. Lineage: Eukaryota; Metazoa; Arthropoda; Insecta; Hymenoptera; Eulophidae. The transcript is spliced from 4 exons. The record is from RefSeq and is a predicted model, not a curated record.